ACCAGUUUUAUCACUGCAAUGUUCUUGGUAAAUAUAAAAUUAUGCUUUGUUAAGUUCUUUAUUCAUAUGCGUGACUAUGUGUCAUUUUAUUAAGACUUGGGCAUUGUUUGUGAUUUUGACAUAUCAGCUUGGGUGUUUUAUUUGUCCCUUAAUUUAUUGAUUUUGUUAUUAAAUAUUAUUAAAUAUUUACAAUUCGGUUGUUAUCUUAUUAUCGUUUACAUUUUCAUCUUGUAUUUCCUUAAUAUUUUGAGUCUUUAGUUAAACUGGAAUUAGUUGAAUUUCAUAGAGUUGAUUAGUUCCUUUUGUUUUACCCUCUUUGCUUUAUUGUCUUUCUCCCAUCACGUUUACUACUGUCUGUGUUUUCCUAUUUGUUGGUGGCGGUGAAUUUUUUAUUUAUUUAUUUUUUAAACCAAUGUCUGGUGAUAAAGUGGUUUUUUUAAAAUUAAUUUCUCUUUUUUGGGGGGGGUUGACAGUGCUACCACUUAAUUUGCUGUUUUCUUUGCCACAGGUCCAUAUUUUCAGUUAUUUUGUUUAAUAAAAUUAUGUAAAUUGAUUUGCCAUGCCUCUGCCUUUGUUAAUAAUGAGCCUGUGUGCCUUUGCAAGUAGUAAAACCUUUGCGCUGGUUUAUGGCAGUUCAUGAGAUUUUAGAUUUUUUUAUUCUUUAUUUCUAGACACCAAUUCCUGUUGUUUGUCCAUUUGAAAAACAAAAAAUCUAUUUCUUCAAAUUAGAGCCCGACUGAAAAACCAAUGGGAGGUGAAAUGUUUUGGGGUUUUCUUUGUGAUUUGUUUUGUUUUCAAAUGUAUAAGAAAUCCUUAUAACCUGUAUUAAAACAUGUCUUGCAAAAGUUGCUUUCAAUAUGAUUUAUUAGCAGUACAGUUUUUUGAUUCAUAUCUGUGCAAAUGCCCAUUUCUGUAACACAUUUGCUGUGAUGACCUGUGUACGGUAAACAUAUGCAUAAAAAAUCAAAUAAAGACAGUGUUUAUUGUUUAUCUACUCACAUUAACUAAACAAAGCUGGGCCAUUUCAGACCAAUGCAAAAAAGUAAAAUC
Long non-coding RNA from Astatotilapia calliptera (eastern happy), 1050 nucleotides. Lineage: Eukaryota; Metazoa; Chordata; Actinopteri; Cichliformes; Cichlidae. The record is from Ensembl.